CCACAGUAAUGGCGAAUGAACAGGGACAAGCUCAGCAUGGAAAUCGGGGCCUAUGGCCUUGAAUUGUAGUCUUGAGAUGUACUGCCAUCGGAGGCGCAGGUGUAAGCCUCUUGGAAAAGAGCAUCAAUGAGGGUGAGAGUCCUGCUUGCCAUCUGUAGUCCCCCGUGUACGNNNNNCUUUCCAAGAGUCACGUUCCUGGGGAUUGGAGCGCAAAGUGGGUGGUAAAUUUCUUCUGAAGCUGAAUAUAGGUUCGAGACCGAUAGCAAACAAGUACCAUGAGGGAAAGGUGAAAAGGACUUUGAAAAGAGAGUUAAAAGUGCCUGAAAUUGCUGAAAGGGAAGCGAAGGGAACCAGUGUGUCUUGGCGAGAUUGUUGCGUGCUAUUGCAAUUCCUUGCUGCUUCAGUGAAAGCGCAGCGCUAGGGGUUGAACAAUACGUGCGCAGUGCUUCUUGCCUUGCAUGUCAGCUCCAGUUCACUGUUGAGGAAAACCUCGGGGACAUGUUAGCUUGCCUUUGGGUGGGUGAAUGUGCCCAGGUGGACGCACGUGUGUACUGAUUGGUGACGAAAUGGUUCUCCCGGACCCGUCUUGAAACACGGACCAAGGAGUCUAACAUAUGUGCGAGCUCAUGGGUGGCAAACCUGCUUGCGCAAUGAAAGUGACUGCUGGGAUCUUUGCACCAGCAACUGACCAAUUUACCGAGAGAGGUUUGAGUAUGAGCACAUCUGUUAGGACCCGAAAGAUGGUGAACUAUGCCUGUGAAGGGCAAACUCAGGGGAAACUCUGAUGGAGGCUCGUAGCGAUACUGACGUGCAAAUCGUUCGUCAUACAUGGGUAUAGGGGCGAAAGACUAAUCGAACCAUCUAGUAGCUGGUUCCCUCCGAAGUUUCCCUCAGGAUAGCUGGAGUU
RNAcentral lists this ribosomal RNA (907 nucleotides) under Palatinus pseudolaevis. RNAcentral's name for it is "LSU rRNA". It matches the Rfam family "Eukaryotic large subunit ribosomal RNA", at positions 78 to 989 of the family's 3401-position model. Lineage: Eukaryota; Dinophyceae; Peridiniales; Peridiniopsidaceae. The record is from RNAcentral.